UGAGGAAUAUUGGUCAAUGGGCGAGAGCCUGAACCAGCCAAAUCGCGUGAAGGAAGACUGCCUUAUGGGUUGUAAACUUCUUUUAUACAGGAAUAAAAAAGGGGACGUGUCCCUUAUUGCAUGUACUGUAUGAAUAAGCAUCGGCUAACUCCGUGCCAGCAGCCGCGGUAAUACGGAGGAUGCGAGCGUUAUCCGGAUUUAUUGGGUUUAAAGGGUGCGCAGGCGGGCUUUUAAGUCAGCGGUGAAAUCUCGGGGCUUAACUCCGAAACUGCCGUUGAAACUGGGAGUCUUGAGUAUGGAUGAAGUAGGCGGAAUUCGUUGUGUAGCGGUGACAUGCUUAGAUAUAACGAGGAACUCCGAUUGCGUAGGCAGCUUACUAAGCCAUAACUGACGCUCAAGCACGAAAGCGUGGGGAUCAAACAGGAUUAGAUACCCCUGGUAGUCCACGCCGUAAACGAUGAUUACUAGUUGUAUGCGAUAUACCGUAUGUGACUAAGCGAAAGCGAUAAGUAAUCCACCUGGGGAGUACGCCGGCAACGGUG
RNAcentral lists this ribosomal RNA (542 nucleotides) under uncultured bacterium. RNAcentral's name for it is "partial 16S ribosomal RNA". It matches the Rfam family "Bacterial small subunit ribosomal RNA", at positions 355 to 896 of the family's 1533-position model. The record is from RNAcentral.